GGGGCGAGCACGAAUAGCAUAUUGGUUGGCGACCGGCGCACGGUGCGUAACACGUAUACAACCUACCUAUAACAGGGGAGUAGCUUCGUAAGAAGAGAUUAAUACCCCGUAAUAAAUUGAGUGGCAUCACUUGAUUUUGAAAGCUACGGCGGUUAUAGAUGGGUAUGCGUCUGAUUAGCUAGUUGGUGAGGUAACGGCUCACCAAGGCGACGAUCAGUAGGGGAUCUGAGAGGACUAACCCCCACACUGGUACUGAGACACGGACCAGACUCCUACGGGAGGCAGCAGUAAGGAAUAUUGGUCAAUGGAGGCAACUCUGAACCAGCCAUGCCGCGUGCAGGAUGACGGCCCUAUGGGUUGUAAACUGCUUUUGUACCAGAGAAAACCUACUCACGUGUGAGUAGCUGAUAGUAUGGUAAGAAUAAGCAUCGGCUAACUUCGUG
Molecule: ribosomal RNA, 443 nt
Filed under: uncultured bacterium
Lineage: Bacteria
Description: bacterial SSU rRNA
Rfam family: Bacterial small subunit ribosomal RNA
Source: RNAcentral